Molecule: long non-coding RNA, 614 nt
Organism: Thalassophryne amazonica
Lineage: Eukaryota; Metazoa; Chordata; Actinopteri; Batrachoidiformes; Batrachoididae
Exons: 2
Source: RefSeq, a predicted model, not a curated record
CAGGUGGUCUGGGUGGGAUCCUGGGUUUGGAUCCAGGAUGUCUGUCUGGGUUCCUAGGUUUGGAUCAAGGAGGUCUGGGUGGGAUCCUGGGUUUGGAUCCAGGAGGUCUGGGUGGGUUUCUGGGUUUGGAUCCAUGAUAUCUGGCUGGGUUCCUGGGUUUGGAUCCAGGAGGUCUGGGUGGGUUUUGGCCUGUUGCAUUUUCUGUUGUGUUGUGUGGAGUUAUUCACGCGUUCUGAGUACUGCUUAAUUUCUGGAACGUAGCUAAGGUGCUGUGCCAUGUCCGUGAACAUAUACUGGACUUCUAGCAGAUAUAUCCGUGUUUGUGCAUGAGGAUGGAAACGUGAACUUCAGCCUCUAACUGGCCUCCUUUCAGCCGUUCACUUUGUUCAUCUUCACCUUUUGGUUAAAUAUUCCACAUUUUUCUGCAAUAAUGACGGGAUUUCUGGAUUUUGAAGCUGGAUGUUGGUGUUUGAUGGAUAGCAUGACUGAGCUGUUAAACAUAUCAUCUGAAUGUUAAAGUGUCAAGUCUUCAUUUUACUCCUUCUGUGAUUAACAUGUAACUGUUGCCAUGUUUUCUUUCUAAUCUGCCAUUAAAGUGCUUUAUCCAAACCACA